UCCCUGGAGGACUAGAGGUUAGGCCUCAGUACUCUAACCACUGUGGCCCUGGUUUGAUUCCUGGCAGGGAA
Molecule: non-coding RNA, 71 nt
Organism: Pangasius djambal
Lineage: Eukaryota; Metazoa; Chordata; Actinopteri; Siluriformes; Pangasiidae
Source: the annotation of a GenBank genome assembly